CCUACGGGGGGCAGCAGUGGGGAAUAUUGCACAAUGGGGGAAACCCUGAUGCAGCGACGCCGCGUGAGUGAAGAAGUAAUUCGGUAUGUAAAGCUCUAUCAGCAGGGAAGAAAAUGACGGUACCUGAGUAAGAAGCCCCGGCUAACUACGUGCCAGCAUCCGCGGUAAUACGUAGGGGGCAAGCGUUAUCCGGAUUUACUGGGUGUAAAGGGAGCGUAGACGGCAGUGCAAGUCUGAAGUGAAAGGCGGGGGCUCAACCCCCGGACUGCUCUGGAAACUGUACGGCUGGAGUGCAGGAGAGGUAAGUGGAAUUCCUAGUGUAGCGGUGAAAUGCGUAGAUAUUAGGAGGAACACCAGUGGCGAAGGCGGCUUACUGGACUGUAACUGACGUUGAGGCUCGAAAGCGUGGGGAGCAAACAGGAUUAGAUACCCCAGUAGUC
This 440-nucleotide ribosomal RNA is filed under the name uncultured bacterium. Its description in RNAcentral is "partial 16S ribosomal RNA". It matches the Rfam family "Bacterial small subunit ribosomal RNA", at positions 338 to 795 of the family's 1533-position model. The record is from RNAcentral.